This 510-nucleotide ribosomal RNA is filed under the name Purpureocillium lilacinum. RNAcentral's name for it is "partial large subunit ribosomal RNA". It matches the Rfam family "Eukaryotic large subunit ribosomal RNA", at positions 89 to 610 of the family's 3401-position model. Lineage: Eukaryota; Fungi; Ascomycota; Sordariomycetes; Hypocreales; Ophiocordycipitaceae. The record is from RNAcentral.
GCGAGUGAAGCGGCAACAGCUCAAAUUUGAAAUCUGGCCCCCAGGGCCCGAGUUGUAAUUUGCAGAGGAUGCUUUUGGCGCGGUGCCUUCCGAGUUCCCUGGAACGGGACGCCAUAGAGGGUGAGAGCCCCGUCUGGUCGGACGCCUAGCCUGUGUAAAGCUCCUUCGACGAGUCGAGUAGUUUGGGAAUGCUGCUCUAAAUGGGAGGUAUAUGUCUUCUAAAGCUAAAUACCGGCCAGAGACCGAUAGCGCACAAGUAGAGUGAUCGAAAGAUGAAAAGCACUUUGAAAAGAGGGUUAAAUAGUACGUGAAAUUGUUGAAAGGGAAGCGCUUGUGACCAGACUUGGGCCCGGUGGAUCAUCCAGCGUUCUCGCUGGUGCACUCCGCCGGGUUCAGGCCAGCAUCAGUUCGCCGCGGGGGAAAAAGGCUUCGGGAACGUGGCUCCUACGGGAGUGUUAUAGCCCGUUGCAUAAUACCCUGGGGCGGACUGAGGUUCGCGCUCCGCAAGGA